GAUGAACGCUGGCGGCGUGCCUAAUACAUGCAAGUCGAGCGAACAGAUGAGGAGCUUGCUCCUCUGACGUUAGCGGCGGACGGGUGAGUAACACGUGGAUAACCUACCUAUAAGACUGGGAUAACUUCGGGAAACCGGAGCUAAUACCGGAUAAUAUAUUGAACCGCAUGGUUCAAUAGUGAAAGACGGUUUUGCUGUCACUUAUAGAUGGAUCCGCGCCGCAUUAGCUAGUUGGUAAGGUAACGGCUUACCAAGGCAACGAUGCGUAGCCGACCUGAGAGGGUGAUCGGCCACACUGGAACUGAGACACGGUCCAGACUCCUACGGGAGGCAGCAGUAGGGAAUCUUCCGCAAUGGGCGAAAGCCUGACGGAGCAACGCCGCGUGAGUGAUGAAGGUCUUCGGAUCGUAAAACUCUGUUAUUAGGGAAGGACAAAUGUGUAAGUAACUAUGCACGUCUCGACGGUACCUAAUCAGAAAGCCACGGCUAACUACGUG
RNAcentral lists this ribosomal RNA (497 nucleotides) under uncultured bacterium. RNAcentral's name for it is "partial 16S ribosomal RNA". It matches the Rfam family "Bacterial small subunit ribosomal RNA", at positions 28 to 507 of the family's 1533-position model. The record is from RNAcentral.